Molecule: RNase P RNA, 390 nt
Filed under: marine eukaryotic metagenome
Description: Bacterial RNase P class A
Rfam family: Bacterial RNase P class A
About the family: Ribonuclease P (RNase P) is a ubiquitous endoribonuclease, found in archaea, bacteria and eukarya as well as chloroplasts and mitochondria. Its best characterised activity is the generation of mature 5'-ends of tRNAs by cleaving the 5'-leader elements of precursor-tRNAs. Cellular RNase Ps are ribonucleoproteins.
Source: RNAcentral
GUGGGCCGGGUGGUCGCUCUUCCCGACUUGUUCAGGAGGAGAGGAAAGUCCGAGCUCCAACCGGGCAGGGUGCUGGAUAACAUCCAGGCGGGGUGACCCGACGGAUAGCGCCACAGAAACAAACCGCUUCGGAUUGCCGGAGCAAGGGUGAAAUCGGGAGGUAAGAGCUCCCGGCCGUUCGCAGCGAUGCGACGGCGGGCAAGCCCCACCCGGAGCAAGGCCAAAUAGGGGGACUAUGGGUGCCCGACCCGUCCCCGGGUUGGCUGCACGAGGCUUUCAGCAAUGGGAGUCCCAGAGGGAUGGCCACCGCCUGUCCGCUCAUUAGGAUGAAGCCUUUCGGGGCGUAAACUGAUGGCUGGCAGGUACAGAACUCGGCUUAUAGGCCCACCG